GUGCUUACUUUGUCAGCACACAUACUAAAAUUGAUAUGAUAGAAUAAUAGAAUGGCUCCUUUGCAAAGAUGAUACAUAAAAUCAUGAAAUAUUCUAUAUUUUC
Molecule: small nuclear RNA, 103 nt
Organism: Sarcophilus harrisii (Tasmanian devil)
Lineage: Eukaryota; Metazoa; Chordata; Mammalia; Dasyuromorphia; Dasyuridae
Source: Ensembl